This 6098-nucleotide long non-coding RNA is filed under the name Homo sapiens (human). RNAcentral's name for it is "non-protein coding XIST:4". The stretch from base 2359 to 2484 matches the Rfam family "X-chromosome inactivation gene exon 4". The record is from RNAcentral. Lineage: Eukaryota; Metazoa; Chordata; Mammalia; Primates; Hominidae.
CGGGGCUGGAAGCUUCCUGACUGAAGAUCUCUCUGCACUUGGGGUUCUUUCUAGAACAUUUUCUAGUCCCCCAACACCCUUUAUGGCGUAUUUCUUUAAAAAAAUCACCUAAAUUCCAUAAAAUAUUUUUUUAAAUUCUAUACUUUCUCCUAGUGUCUUCUUGACACGUCCUCCAUAUUUUUUUAAAGAAAGUAUUUGGAAUAUUUUGAGGCAAUUUUUAAUAUUUAAGGAAUUUUUCUUUGGAAUCAUUUUUGGUUGACAUCUCUGUUUUUUGUGGAUCAGUUUUUUACUCUUCCACUCUCUUUUCUAUAUUUUGCCCAUCGGGGCUGCGGAUACCUGGUUUUAUUAUUUUUUCUUUGCCCAACGGGGCCGUGGAUACCUGCCUUUUAAUUCUUUUUUAUUCGCCCAUCGGGGCCGCGGAUACCUGCUUUUUAUUUUUUUUUCCUUAGCCCAUCGGGGUAUCGGAUACCUGCUGAUUCCCUUCCCCUCUGAACCCCCAACACUCUGGCCCAUCGGGGUGACGGAUAUCUGCUUUUUAAAAAUUUUCUUUUUUUGGCCCAUCGGGGCUUCGGAUACCUGCUUUUUUUUUUUUUAUUUUUCCUUGCCCAUCGGGGCCUCGGAUACCUGCUUUAAUUUUUGUUUUUCUGGCCCAUCGGGGCCGCGGAUACCUGCUUUGAUUUUUUUUUUUCAUCGCCCAUCGGUGCUUUUUAUGGAUGAAAAAAUGUUGGUUUUGUGGGUUGUUGCACUCUCUGGAAUAUCUACACUUUUUUUUGCUGCUGAUCAUUUGGUGGUGUGUGAGUGUACCUACCGCUUUGGCAGAGAAUGACUCUGCAGUUAAGCUAAGGGCGUGUUCAGAUUGUGGAGGAAAAGUGGCCGCCAUUUUAGACUUGCCGCAUAACUCGGCUUAGGGCUAGUCGUUUGUGCUAAGUUAAACUAGGGAGGCAAGAUGGAUGAUAGCAGGUCAGGCAGAGGAAGUCAUGUGCAUUGCAUGAGCUAAACCUAUCUGAAUGAAUUGAUUUGGGGCUUGUUAGGAGCUUUGCGUGAUUGUUGUAUCGGGAGGCAGUAAGAAUCAUCUUUUAUCAGUACAAGGGACUAGUUAAAAAUGGAAGGUUAGGAAAGACUAAGGUGCAGGGCUUAAAAUGGCGAUUUUGACAUUGCGGCAUUGCUCAGCAUGGCGGGCUGUGCUUUGUUAGGUUGUCCAAAAUGGCGGAUCCAGUUCUGUCGCAGUGUUCAAGUGGCGGGAAGGCCACAUCAUGAUGGGCGAGGCUUUGUUAAGUGGUUAGCAUGGUGGUGGACAUGUGCGGUCACACAGGAAAAGAUGGCGGCUGAAGGUCUUGCCGCAGUGUAAAACAUGGCGGGCCUCUUUGUCUUUGCUGUGUGCUUUUCGUGUUGGGUUUUGCCGCAGGGACAAUAUGGCAGGCGUUGUCAUAUGUAUAUCAUGGCUUUUGUCACGUGGACAUCAUGGCGGGCUUGCCGCAUUGUUAAAGAUGGCGGGUUUUGCCGCCUAGUGCCACGCAGAGCGGGAGAAAAGGUGGGAUGGACAGUGCUGGAUUGCUGCAUAACCCAACCAAUUAGAAAUGGGGGUGGAAUUGAUCACAGCCAAUUAGAGCAGAAGAUGGAAUUAGACUGAUGACACACUGUCCAGCUACUCAGCGAAGACCUGGGUGAAUUAGCAUGGCACUUCGCAGCUGUCUUUAGCCAGUCAGGAGAAAGAAGUGGAGGGGCCACGUGUAUGUCUCCCAGUGGGCGGUACACCAGGUGUUUUCAAGGUCUUUUCAAGGACAUUUAGCCUUUCCACCUCUGUCCCCUCUUAUUUGUCCCCUCCUGUCCAGUGCUGCCUCUUGCAGUGCUGGAUAUCUGGCUGUGUGGUCUGAACCUCCCUCCAUUCCUCUGUAUUGGUGCCUCACCUAAGGCUAAGUAUACCUCCCCCCCCACCCCCCAACCCCCCCAACUCCCCACCCCCACCCCCCACCCCCCACCUCCCCACCCCCCUACCCCCCUACCCCCCUACCCCCCUCUGGUCUGCCCUGCACUGCACUGUUGCCAUGGGCAGUGCUCCAGGCCUGCUUGGUGUGGACAUGGUGGUGAGCCGUGGCAAGGACCAGAAUGGAUCACAGAUGAUCGUUGGCCAACAGGUGGCAGAAGAGGAAUUCCUGCCUUCCUCAAGAGGAACACCUACCCCUUGGCUAAUGCUGGGGAUGUCAAAAGAUCGGCCCAGCUCAGGGAGCAGUUUGCCCUACUAGCUCCUCGGACAGCUGUAAAGAAGAGUCUCUGGCUCUUUAGAAUACUGGAUCCCAUUGAAGAUACCACGCUGCAUGUGUCCUUAGUAGUCAUGUCUCCUUAGGCUCCUCUUGAUCUUCCUCAGAAGAAUAGGCUUGUUGUUUUACAGUGUUAGUGAUCCAUUCCCUUUGACGAUCCCUAGGUGGAGAUGGGGCAUGAGGAUCCUCCAGGGGAAAAGCUCACUACCACUGGGCAACAACCCUAGGUCAGGAGGUUCUGUCAAGAUACUUUCCUGGUCCCAGAUAGGAAGAUAAAGUCUCAAAAACAACCACCACACGUCAAGCUCUUCAUUGUUCCUAUCUGCCAAAUCAUUAUACUUCCUACAAGCAGUGCAGAGAGCUGAGUCUUCAGCAGGUCCAAGAAAUUUGAACACACUGAAGGAAGUCAGCCUUCCCACCUGAAGAUCAACAUGCCUGGCACUCUAGCACUUGAGGAUAGCUGAAUGAAUGUGUCUUACCCAUUUCCAUGUUUCUCUUGCUAAUUUCUUUCGUGUGUGCCUUUGCCUCAUUUUCUCUUUUUGUUCACAAGAGUGGUCUGUGUCUUGUCUUAGACAUAUCUCUCAUUUUUCAUUUUGUUGCUAUUUCUCUUUGCUCUCCUAGAUGUGGCUCUUCUUUCACGCUUUAUUUCAUGUCUCCUUUUUGGGUCACAUGCUGUGUGCUUUUUGUCCUUUUCUUGUUCUGUCUACCUCUCCUUUCUCUGCCUACCUCUCUUUUCUCUUUGUGAACUGUGAUUAUUUGUUACCCCUUCCCCUUCUCGUUCGUUUUAAAUUUCACCUUUUUUCUGAGUCUGGCCUCCUUUCUGCUGUUUCUACUUUUUAUCUCACAUUUCUCAUUUCUGCAUUUCCUUUCUGCCUCUCUUGGGCUAUUCUCUCUCUCCUCCCCUGCGUGCCUCAGCAUCUCUUGCUGUUUGUGAUUUUCUAUUUCAGUAUUAAUCUCUGUUGGCUUGUAUUUGUUCUCUGCUUCUUCCCUUUCUACUCACCUUUGAGUAUUUCAGCCUCUUCAUGAAUCUAUCUCCCUCUCUUUGAUUUCAUGUAAUCUCUCCUUAAAUAUUUCUUUGCAUAUGUGGGCAAGUGUACGUGUGUGUGUGUCAUGUGUGGCAGAGGGGCUUCCUAACCCCUGCCUGAUAGGUGCAGAACGUCGGCUAUCAGAGCAAGCAUUGUGGAGCGGUUCCUUAUGCCAGGCUGCCAUGUGAGAUGAUCCAAGACCAAAACAAGGCCCUAGACUGCAGUAAAACCCAGAACUCAAGUAGGGCAGAAGGUGGAAGGCUCAUAUGGAUAGAAGGCCCAAAGUAUAAGACAGAUGGUUUGAGACUUGAGACCCGAGGACUAAGAUGGAAAGCCCAUGUUCCAAGAUAGAUAGAAGCCUCAGGCCUGAAACCAACAAAAGCCUCAAGAGCCAAGAAAACAGAGGGUGGCCUGAAUUGGACCGAAGGCCUGAGUUGGAUGGAAGUCUCAAGGCUUGAGUUAGAAGUCUUAAGACCUGGGACAGGACACAUGGAAGGCCUAAGAACUGAGACUUGUGACACAAGGCCAACGACCUAAGAUUAGCCCAGGGUUGUAGCUGGAAGACCUACAACCCAAGGAUGGAAGGCCCCUGUCACAAAGCCUACCUAGAUGGAUAGAGGACCCAAGCGAAAAAGGUAUCUCAAGACUAACGGCCGGAAUCUGGAGGCCCAUGACCCAGAACCCAGGAAGGAUAGAAGCUUGAAGACCUGGGGAAAUCCCAAGAUGAGAACCCUAAACCCUACCUCUUUUCUAUUGUUUACACUUCUUACUCUUAGAUAUUUCCAGUUCUCCUGUUUAUCUUUAAGCCUGAUUCUUUUGAGAUGUACUUUUUGAUGUUGCCGGUUACCUUUAGAUUGACAGUAUUAUGCCUGGGCCAGUCUUGAGCCAGCUUUAAAUCACAGCUUUUACCUAUUUGUUAGGCUAUAGUGUUUUGUAAACUUCUGUUUCUAUUCACAUCUUCUCCACUUGAGAGAGACACCAAAAUCCAGUCAGUAUCUAAUCUGGCUUUUGUUAACUUCCCUCAGGAGCAGACAUUCAUAUAGGUGAUACUGUAUUUCAGUCCUUUCUUUUGACCCCAGAAGCCCUAGACUGAGAAGAUAAAAUGGUCAGGUUGUUGGGGAAAAAAAAGUGCCAGGCUCUCUAGAGAAAAAUGUGAAGAGAUGCUCCAGGCCAAUGAGAAGAAUUAGACAAGAAAUACACAGAUGUGCCAGACUUCUGAGAAGCACCUGCCAGCAACAGCUUCCUUCUUUGAGCUUAGUCCAUCCCUCAUGAAAAAUGACUGACCACUGCUGGGCAGCAGGAGGGAUGAUGACCAACUAAUUCCCAAACCCCAGUCUCAUUGGUACCAGCCUUGGGGAACCACCUACACUUGAGCCACAAUUGGUUUUGAAGUGCAUUUACAAGGUUUGUCUAUUUUCAGUUCUUUACUUUUUACAUGCUGACACAUACAUACACUGCCUAAAUAGAUCUCUUUCAGAAACAAUCCUCAGAUAACGCAUAGCAAAAUGGAGAUGGAGACAUGAUUUCUCAUGCAACAGCUUCUCUAAUUAUACCUUAGAAAUGUUCUCCUUUUUAUCAUCAAAUCUGCUCAAGAAGGGCUUUUUAUAGUAGAAUAAUAUCAGUGGAUGAAAACAGCUUAACAUUUUACCAUGCUUAAGUUUUAAGAAUAAAAUAAAAAUUGGAAAUAAUUGGCCAAAAUUGAAAGGAAAAAUUUUUUUAAAAUUUCUCUAAAUGUAGGCCUGGCUGGGCUUUGACCUUUUCCGUUUUUAAAUCACUCACAGAGGGUGGGACAGGAGGAAGAGUGAAGGAAAAGGUCAAACCUGUUUUAAGGGCAACCUGCCUUUGUUCUGAAUUGGUCUUAAGAACAUUACCAGCUCCAGGUUUAAAUUGUUCAGUUUCAUGCAGUUCCAAUAGCUGAUCAUUGUUGAGAUGAGGACAAAAUCCUUUGUCCUCACUAGUUUGCUUUACAUUUUUGAAAAGUAUUAUUUUUGUCCAAGUGCUUAUCAACUAAACCUUGUGUUAGGUAAGAAUGGAAUUUAUUAAGUGAAUCAGUGUGACCCUUCUUGUCAUAAGAUUAUCUUAAAGCUGAAGCCAAAAUAUGCUUCAAAAGAAGAGGACUUUAUUGUUCAUUGUAGUUCAUACAUUCAAAGCAUCUGAACUGUAGUUUCUAUAGCAAGCCAAUUACAUCCAUAAGUGGAGAAGGAAAUAGAUAAAUGUCAAAGUAUGAUUGGUGGAGGGAGCAAGGUUGAAGAUAAUCUGGGGUUGAAAUUUUCUAGUUUUCAUUCUGUACAUUUUUAGUUAGACAUCAGAUUUGAAAUAUUAAUGUUUACCUUUCAAUGUGUGGUAUCAGCUGGACUCAGUAACACCCCUUUCUUCAGCUGGGGAUGGGGAAUGGAUUAUUGGAAAAUGGAAAGAAGAAAGUAACUAAAAGCCUUCCUUUCACAGUUUCUGGCAUCACUACCACUACUGAUUAAACAAGAAUAAGAGAACAUUUUAUCAUCAUCUGCUUUAUUCACAUAAAUGAAGUUGUGAUGAAUAAAUCUGCUUUUAUGCAGACACAAGGAAUUAAGUGGCUUCGUCAUUGUCCUUCUACCUCAAAGAUAAUUUAUUCCAAAAGCUAAGAUAAAUGGAAGACUCUUGAACUUGUGAACUGAUGUGAAAUGCAGAAUCUCUUUUGAGUCUUUGCUGUUUGGAAGAUUGAAAAAUAUUGUUCAGCAUGGGUGACCACCAGAAAGUAAUCUUAAGCCAUCUAGAUGUCACAAUUGAAACAAACUGGGGAGUUGGUUGCUAUUGUAAAAUAAAAUAUACUGUUUUG